Molecule: long non-coding RNA, 818 nt
Organism: Thunnus maccoyii (southern bluefin tuna)
Lineage: Eukaryota; Metazoa; Chordata; Actinopteri; Scombriformes; Scombridae
Exons: 4
Source: RefSeq, a predicted model, not a curated record
AGUAUGUCAGCCAUGUCAUGGGUUAACUGAAGAGCAGGAAACAUGGAGGCAUCUCUGGAAGGCCUUUGGAGGUGACAUAACUGCAGCCCCCCUCUAAGUAGAGGACAGACAAGGUCAGAGCUGGUCUUUUCCUAACCCUCUGCUCUUUGUGUGCAUCUAUGUGGGCAUGGCAACCAGCGACAACCAGCAAUAAAGAUGAGGUUAUAUUGCCCAAUAAAUCUGAAUUCAACUGAAGGUACGAGAAAAUCCAAGACAGUUCCAGCUCUGGAAGUGAGGUCAGCAUGUUACUGUGGACUUGGAUCCACAGUGUUCAACAAAAAAAAGGGAGAACUGACACCAGCCAAGCUAUAGCAAGUCACUGACCUCACCCACGGCUCCUAAGUGGUUAUGCAACCUCAAUUUGCAUCUUCCUGUAUCUGAUAAGUGCUGAAUAGUGUGUCUCCUGGCAGCAGAAAAGAGGAACUAGAAGUAAAGGCGAAGCAGAAAAAAUAAAGAACACCUCCCAAUGGCACCGUUUAGCAGCCUUAGAUUAGCAAUCAACACUUCCUUUCUGAGCUUUUACACAGUAAAAAAAAAAAAACACAUUUUUUUUGUUUUAUCCCACAGUUGUUUCAGUCAAAGGGUUUACAUUUUGUCAGAGAGGAUCACUACUAAAGUCUCCUUUACCUGAUGCACAAAGGAAGUGAGUGUAUGUUUUAUCAGACUGUACACUGAACCCUAAAACAAGGGAUUACAAUGGAGAAAUAUCAAAUGUAGUACUUUACUCCAGAGUCCUUUUAUGCCUUAUGUAAAGCACCUUGACUUGCCAUUGUGUAUAA